Long non-coding RNA from Sphaerodactylus townsendi, 816 nucleotides. RefSeq lists it as uncharacterized. The transcript has 2 exons. The record is from RefSeq and is a predicted model, not a curated record. NCBI's taxonomy places the organism in Eukaryota, Metazoa, Chordata, Lepidosauria, Squamata, Sphaerodactylidae.
GGUACGGGUCCCGGCGAGGGGCAAAAAGCGAAGCGCAAAACGCGUGCCUGAGCAGAGCCGGGGUUUCCUAGGUACCGGUUCGAGAGGGCGGGAAGAAGGUCCGCUUAUUAGUGAAGCAUGGCGAUGAGACCCCCUCCGGGAGAUUUUUCGGCCCGUAAUUUAGAAGCUGUUUAUAUUCUGUUAUGUUAGAGAGUUGGUUUCAUUGAUCUGUCCAGGCUUGUCACCCUCAAUGAGGAGAGUGGAGUUCUCUCAGUUUUACAGCUUAUCUCGAGACUACACGGUGACGGAUCCCUUUCCCUGCUGGAAGUGACAGCUUCGGAAGAUAAGAUCUUCGCAUCUCCACAGAGCUCCCUGCCCAAAUUCUGACCUCCAUAGGCCCCACCCUUGAAUGUCCAGAAAUUGGCCAAGCCAGAGCCGGCAAACGGAUCAUAUCCUUCACUUCUGGUUUUCCAAUCUUUCCUCUGAGCGGUUUAGGGCAAUGGGCUUGAUUCUGCUUGCAGGUGUUCCAAAAUCAUUACCUUUGCAUGGCGUUCAGCUCGCCUUGUGAAUUCUGAAGGAUUUGGGAGUGAUAUUGGAUGAUGGACAUUUAGCUGCUGCGUGCUAACAACAGGAAAGGAAACUGGUCAGAUUAUCCUUGCAAUAACACAGUGGUAGAUAAGGCUCAAGAGUAUGUGACUAGCCAAAGGUCACCCAGCAAGCUUCCAUGGCAGAGUGGGGAUUUGAACCUGGCUCUCCAAGAUCCUAGUCCAACAACAACACCAUGCUGUAUCUUAUGUAUGAGCUUGUGUAGGAAUAAAUUUAGUUUCUAAAGUGUCA